RNAcentral lists this ribosomal RNA (379 nucleotides) under uncultured bacterium. RNAcentral describes it as "partial 16S ribosomal RNA". It matches the Rfam family "Bacterial small subunit ribosomal RNA", at positions 338 to 734 of the family's 1533-position model. The record is from RNAcentral.
CCUACGGGUGGCAGCAGUGGGGAAUAUUGCACAAUGGGGGAAACCCUGAUGCAGCAACGCAGCGUGAGUGAAGAAGGAUCUCGGUAUGUAAAGCUCUAUCAGCAGGGAAGAAAAUGAAAGUACCUGACUAAGAAGCCACGGAUAACUUCGGGCCAGGAGCCGCGAUAAUACGUAGGGGGCAAGCGUAAUCCGGAUUUACUGGGUGUAAAGGGCGUGCAGUAGGAGAGACAAGUCAGAUGUGAAAGUCACGGGCUCAACCCGUGAAUUGCAUUUGAAACUGUUUGCCUUGAGUGUCGGAGAGGUAAGCGGAAUUCCUGGUGUAGCGGUGAAAUGCUUAGAUAUAAGGAAGAACACCAGUGGCGAAGGCGGAUUACUGGAC